Molecule: ribosomal RNA, 600 nt
Filed under: Trioxiphus sp. Tsp
Lineage: Eukaryota; Metazoa; Arthropoda; Insecta; Hemiptera; Membracidae
Description: eukaryotic LSU rRNA
Rfam family: Eukaryotic large subunit ribosomal RNA
Source: RNAcentral
GGAUGGCGCUGUAGCGUCGUGCCUAUACUCGGCCGUCAACGGCACAGUGGGCGGCCCCCUCGCGGGGGUCGGGCCGUUAAGCCUUGACGAGUAUGAGGGUCGCGGCGGUGUGCACUGAAGGGUCACGGCGUGAGCCGGCCUGGAGCCGCCGUCGGCGCAGAUCUUGGUGGUAGUAGCAAAUACUCCAGCGAGGACCUGGAGGACUGACGUGGAGAAGGGUUUCUUGUGAACAGCUGUUGCACAAGAGUCAGUCGACCCUAAGCCCUAGGAUAAAUCCCAUGCGGAUGGGGCGAAAGGGAAUCCGGUUCCUAUUCCGGAACCCGGUAGCGGAACCGUUCCAAUACGGGCCCUCGUGAGUGCUCGACGGGGUAACCCAAAAAGACCCGGAGACGCCGUCGGGAGAUCCGGAGAGAGUUUUCUUUUCUCUAUAAGCGUUCGAGUUCCAUGGAAUCCUCUAGCAGGGAGAUAUGGUUUGGAACGCGAAGAGCACCGCAGUUGCGGCGGUGUCCGGAUCUUCCCCUCGGACCUUGAAAAUCCGGGAGAGGGCCACGUGGAAUGCUCGCACCGGAUCGUACCCAUAUCCGCAGCAGGUGUCCAAGG